UCAUGUAGAUGCUACAGAUAUUUCUUGAUAUAUCUAUUUGCUAACGAUCCACUUUGCUCCAGCAUUCUCCAUCAAAACCCAAAGUCGGACACAACCAGGGACUUGAGUCUGGAAGGAGGAUUUGUCGAGCUGCCGAUUACCAAAAUGAUUUGGAUGACUUUGCCUCGGAAGUGCGUGUUGUGCGGGAUAAAGUUCGUGCUUGGGAACAAAGAUGUAAAGAAUCUGAAAAAUGGGAUGAGCGACGAGAGAGAGUGUUAAUUUGUGCCACUGUUCUUUUCAUUGCGUUUUGUGUAUUUUCUUAAGGAGAAAUAUCUGCUGAGAACCCAAGUUAUGGUGAAAACUAUGCUGGAAUUACUUUUGAAAGUGUUAUCAAAUAUUGUA
Molecule: long non-coding RNA, 381 nt
Organism: Lolium rigidum
Lineage: Eukaryota; Viridiplantae; Streptophyta; Magnoliopsida; Poales; Poaceae
Exons: 2
Source: RefSeq, a predicted model, not a curated record